AUUGAACGCUGGCGGAAUGCCUUACACAUGCAAGUCGAACGGCAGCACGGACUUCGGUCUGGUGGCGAGUGGCGAACGGGUGAGUAAUACAUCGGAACGUGCCCAGUCGUGGGGGAUAACGUAGCGAAAGCUACGCUAAUACCGCAUACGAUCUACGGAUGAAAGCGGGGGAUCGCAAGACCUCGCGCGAUUGGAGCGGCCGAUGGCAGAUUAGGUAGUUGGUAGGGUAAAGGCCUACCAAGCCGACGAUCUGUAGCUGGUCUGAGAGGAUGAUCAGCCACACUGGGCCUGAGACACGGCCCAGUCUCCUACGGGAGGCAGCAGUGGGGAAUUUUGGACAAGGGGCGCAAGCCUGAUCCAGCCAUUCCGCGUGCAGGAUGAAGGCCUUCGGGUUGUAAACUGCUUUUGUACAGAACGAAAAGGCUCUGGUUAAUACCUGGGGCUCAUGACGGUACUGUAAGAAUAAGCACCGGCUAACUACGUGCCAGCAGCCGCAGUAA
This 500-nucleotide ribosomal RNA is filed under the name uncultured bacterium. Its description in RNAcentral is "partial 16S ribosomal RNA". It matches the Rfam family "Bacterial small subunit ribosomal RNA", at positions 30 to 523 of the family's 1533-position model. The record is from RNAcentral.